CCCCUUUUAAAAAGCACUCAAUGGGCCUUUUGCUAAUGACCCAUUGAGCUGUCAAGAAAGGGUAGAUUAGGCUCAGCUCUUGUGGCUCAAGC
This 92-nucleotide small nucleolar RNA is filed under the name Otolemur garnettii (small-eared galago). Lineage: Eukaryota; Metazoa; Chordata; Mammalia; Primates; Galagidae. The record is from RNAcentral.